RNAcentral lists this ribosomal RNA (301 nucleotides) under uncultured bacterium. Its description in RNAcentral is "partial 16S ribosomal RNA". It matches the Rfam family "Bacterial small subunit ribosomal RNA", at positions 509 to 807 of the family's 1533-position model. The record is from RNAcentral.
CAGUAGCCACGGGAAUACGUAGGGUGCGAGCGUUAAUCGGAAUUACUGGGCAUAAAGCGUGCGCAGGCGGUUAUGUAAGACAGUUGUGAAAUCCCCGGGCUUAACUUGGGAACUGCAUUUGAAACUGGCAAGCUAGAGUCUUGUAGAGGGGGGUAGAAUUCCAGGUGUAGCGGUGAAAUGCGUAGAGAUCUGGAGGAAUACCGGUGGCGAAGGCGGCCCCCUGGACAAAGACUGACGCUCAGGUGCGAAAGCGUGGGGAGCAAACAGGAUUAGAGACCCCAGUAGUCCCUGUCUCUUAUAC